CCUACGGGGGGCAGCAGUAGGGAAUAUUGCUUAAUGGGCGAAAGCCUGAAGCAGCAACGCCGCGUGUGCGAUGAAGGCCUUCGGGUUGUAAAGCACUUUUUGGAGGGAUGAGGAAGGACAGUACCUCCAGAAUAAGCCUCGGCUAACUACGUGCCAGCAGCCGCGGUAACACGUAGGAGGCAAGCGUUAUCCGGAUUUACUGGGCGUAAAGCGCGUGCAGGCGGUUCAGAAAGUUGGAUGUGAAAGCUCCUGGCUUAACUGGGAGAGGUCGUUCAAUACUUCUGGACUAGAGUAUGGGAGAGGGAGGUGGAAUUCCGGGUGUAGUGGUGAAAUGCGUAGAUAUCCGGAGGAACAC
This 355-nucleotide ribosomal RNA is filed under the name uncultured Anaerolineaceae bacterium. RNAcentral describes it as "partial 16S ribosomal RNA". It matches the Rfam family "Bacterial small subunit ribosomal RNA", at positions 338 to 709 of the family's 1533-position model. Lineage: Bacteria; Bacillati; Chloroflexota; Anaerolineae; Anaerolineales; Anaerolineaceae. The record is from RNAcentral.